UAUUUCUAAGUGUAGCUAGAU
Molecule: ribosomal RNA, 21 nt
Filed under: Acinetobacter baumannii UH16208
Lineage: Bacteria; Pseudomonadati; Pseudomonadota; Gammaproteobacteria; Moraxellales; Moraxellaceae
Source: RNAcentral